Molecule: long non-coding RNA, 1020 nt
Organism: Marmota monax (woodchuck)
Lineage: Eukaryota; Metazoa; Chordata; Mammalia; Rodentia; Sciuridae
Exons: 3
Source: RefSeq, a predicted model, not a curated record
CCCUCUUCUGCCUUAUACCGUUACUUGGUCCAGACUUGGACUGAGAGACACAUCUUACCCUUUCAAAAGAAUGCAGCCCAGUACUUUUCAGCUAUUUCACCAAAGAAAGAAGAAAAGGGCCCAGAGGAAACAAGAAGUACACAGGUCUGCCAGGAUCAGGAUCUCAGGGUAACACUAUAAUUGGGUUCUAAUGAGAGGCCUCUUCUUGGCUGCAGACUACCAACUUCUCAUGGUAUCCUCAUGUCAGAAAAGAGUGCAAGCUAGCUCUUUUUGUAAAGGAAAAUCCUUUUUGUAAGGAUUCUAAUCCCAUCUAGGGAACUCUACCUUUAUGGCAUAAUAACAUCCAAAGCCCUAUCUUUAAAUACUGGGGGUUGGGGUUUUAGCAUAUGAACUCAGGGAGGACACAUACAGACAGUCCAUACUAAUGUAUCUUUUCAUUUAUUUAAGUAUUACUCAAAUUCCUUGUAAAUUUGAGUUUUAGUGUAAAGCCUUACAAGCUGCUUAAGUUUUUGGCACAAUAGUAUAUAGCAUGUGUUGUAAUCAGCUGCAAGGAAAGUCUCCAAAGAUUUUCACUUCUUACUAUGUUUGUCCUUGAAUGGGUAUUCCCCACUGAAUACAGAUGCCUGCCUGUGUAUCCAGGGUACAUGGGGAUGACUGAUGGCCCUGCAGGGCUUGACUUCUCUUUUGGAUCCCUCUCUUUGGAUGAAGUAGCUGCCAUGCCAUGGGACAGCUGAGAGACCCUGCAGAGAGGUAGAUGCUGUGGGGGAAUGAAGCCUCUUGCCAACAUCCAGCAUCAUCUUGCCAGCUACCAGAACCUUGAAAGGCAGCUCUUCCAGCCCAUUUAGAAUACUGACAUUCAGAGUGACAUCUAGACUGCAACCCCUUGAGAGACCCCAUGCCUGAAUCACCCAGCUAAUUGUUCUCCAGUUCCUCAUCUACAGAAACAGCUUGAUAUAAUGAAUGUUUAUUAUAGAUUUAGCCAUUAAACUUGUGAUGAUUUUCUAUGCAGUAAGAGAUAAU